This 740-nucleotide ribosomal RNA is filed under the name uncultured archaeon. RNAcentral's name for it is "bacterial SSU rRNA". It matches the Rfam family "Archaeal small subunit ribosomal RNA", at positions 1 to 750 of the family's 1478-position model. The record is from RNAcentral.
UUCCGGUUGAUCCUGCCGGACCCGACUGCUAUCAGAGUGAGAUUAAGCCAUGCGAGUUAACGUAGCAAUACGUGGCGCACGGCUCAGUAACACGUAGUCAACAUGCCCAGAGGACGUGGAUAACCUCGGGAAACUGAGUCUAAACCGCGAUAAGUGAGGAUUUCUGGAAUGGUACCUGACUAAAAUCUAUAUGGCCUCUGGAUUGGACUGCGGCCGAUCAGGCUGUUGGUGAGGUAAUGGCCCACCAAACCUGUAACCGGUACGGGCUCUGAGAGGAGGAGCCCGGAGAUGGGCACUGAGACAAGGGCCCAGGCCCUAUGGGGCGCAGCAGGCGCGAAACCUCUGCAAUAGGCGCAAGCCUGACAGGGUUACUCUGAGUGACUUUCGCUAAGAAAGUCUUUUGGCACCUCUAAAAAGGGUGCAGAAUAAGGGGUGGGCAAGUCUGGUGUCAGCCGCCGCGGUAAUACCAGCACCCCGAGUGGUCGGGACGAUUAUUGGGCCUAAAGCAUCCGUAGCCGGUUCUGCAAGUCCCCCGUUAAAUCCAGCCGCUCAACGGAUGGGCCGCGGAGGAUACUACAGGACUAGGAGGCGGGAGAGGCAAGCGGUACUCAGUGGGUAGGGGUAAAAUCCUUUGAUCCAUUGAAGACCACCAGUGGCGAAGGCGGCUUGCCAGAACGCGCUCGACGGUGAGGGAUGAAAGCUGGGGGAGCAAACCGGAUUAGAUACCCGGGUAGUCCCAG